RNAcentral lists this ribosomal RNA (253 nucleotides) under uncultured bacterium. Its description in RNAcentral is "partial 16S ribosomal RNA". It matches the Rfam family "Bacterial small subunit ribosomal RNA", at positions 524 to 776 of the family's 1533-position model. The record is from RNAcentral.
UACGGAGGGUGCAAGCGUUAUCCGGAUUUACUGGGGUUAAAGGGUGCGUAGGUGGGUCUGUAAGUCAGUGGUGAAAUCUCCGAGCUUAACUCGGAAACUGCCAUUGAUACUAUAGAUCUUGAAUUAUCUGGAGGUAAGCGGAAUAUGUCAUGUAGCGGUGAAAUGCUUAGAUAUGACAUAGAACACCAAUUGCGAAGGCAGCUUACUACGGAUCGAUUGACACUGAGGCACGAAAGCGUGGGGAUCAAACAGG